ACGAACGCUGGCGGCGUGCCUAACACAUGCAAGUCGAGCGGACAUGCCCGGUGUAGCAAUACAUUGGACAUGUUAGCGGCGGACGGGUGAGUAACACGUAAGUAACCUACCCUCGAGACCGGGAUAACCCGCCGAAAGGCGGGCUAAUACCGGAUGAGGAUCCGGAAACGCAUGUUUUUGGAUUCAAACGGAACCUAAAGAACCGCUUGAGGAUGGGCUUGCGGCCUAUCAGCUAGUUGGCGGUGUAGAAGACCACCAAGGCGACGACGGGUAGCUGGUUUGAGAGGACGACCAGUCACACUGGAACUGAGACACGGUCCAGACUCCUACGGGAGGCAGCAGUGAGGAAUUUUCCGCAAUGGGCGAAAGCCUGACGGAGCGACGCCGUGUGAGGGAUGAAGGCUUUCGGGUUGUAAACCUCUGUCAGGGGGGACGAAAUUGACUGUACCCCCAGAGGAAGCCCCGGCUAACUACGU
This 476-nucleotide ribosomal RNA is filed under the name uncultured bacterium. RNAcentral describes it as "bacterial SSU rRNA". It matches the Rfam family "Bacterial small subunit ribosomal RNA", at positions 29 to 506 of the family's 1533-position model. The record is from RNAcentral.